RNAcentral lists this ribosomal RNA (481 nucleotides) under uncultured bacterium. Its description in RNAcentral is "partial 16S ribosomal RNA". It matches the Rfam family "Bacterial small subunit ribosomal RNA", at positions 28 to 507 of the family's 1533-position model. The record is from RNAcentral.
GAUGAACGCUGGCGGCGUGCUUAACACAUGCAAGUCGAACGAAGCACUUUAUUUGAUUUCCUUCGGGACUGAUUAUUUUGUGACUGAGUGGCGGACGGGUGAGUAACGCGUGGGUAACCUGCCUUGUACAGGGGGAUAACAGUUGGAAACGGCUGCUAAUACCGCAUAAGCGCACGGCAUCGCAUGAUGCAGUGUGAAAAACUCCGGUGGUAUAAGAUGGACCCGCGUUGGAUUAGCUAGUUGGUGAGGUAACGGCCCACCAAGGCGACGAUCCAUAGCCGACCUGAGAGGGUGACCGGCCACAUUGGGACUGAGACACGGCCCGAACUCCUACGGGAGGCAGCAGUGGGGAAUAUUGCACAAUGGGCGAAAGCCUGAUGCAGCGACGCCGCGUGAGCGAAGAAGUAUGUCGGUAUGUAAAGCUCUAUCAGCAGGGAAGAUAAUGACGGUACCUGACUAAGAAGCACCGGCUAAAUACGUG